Long non-coding RNA from Diachasma alloeum, 5748 nucleotides. RefSeq lists it as uncharacterized. Lineage: Eukaryota; Metazoa; Arthropoda; Insecta; Hymenoptera; Braconidae. The record is from RefSeq and is a predicted model, not a curated record. The transcript has 3 exons.
AGGAAUCCUAUCUGAAAAAUCCUAUAGGAAAUGUUCGAAUUCUUCAUAGGAUUUUUUUAAUACGUAAUGCAAAAAAAAGCACUAGAUUUAUGCCGAUCUAUGCGGAAAGUCUGCAUUACUAUGCCUGAUUUACGCAUAACUGUGAUAUCAUAUGCCACAAUGGACACACCCUAAGAGAGCGGUUUUGACGAUUGCGUAAAGUCCACAUAUAGUGUUUUCUGUUUGUAUGAGCUGCCGAGAACCUACAUUUGUCGUUGGAUAUCCAUUUAUAUCGACUGAAAAUUGAGACCCUUGCAUUCGUAAAAAAGAACAUCAAAAACAACUGGAACGCGAACGUAAGGAGCAGAGAAAGGCUGAAAGAGGUGAGUUACGUACGGAACAGGAGCAGCAUGAAGAGACUGAUCCAGUAGUAGAGAAAAAGGAUGUGUCGCUAGAGCCACAGCAAGCCCCUGCCGCUGCUGCGAUACAUACUGAAGGAGUCGUGAGGCCUGCUCACAGUAUGAUUCAUGACGUCUCACAUUCAGAGCCGGGUUACUCUGUAAGACGAGAGGUGUACCACAGAGAGAGUCGAUCAGUUUACUUCACAGUUGCAUUUGCAGGCAUUGCGCUAAUUGCAGUGGGUAUGGUUGGCGUAGCAGUAUUUAAAAGACGAAGUGCACGAAGCCCUCAUAGUCAGGGUUUUAUUGAAGUAGAUCAAGCGGCAACACCAGAAGAACGACACGUAGCCAAUAUGCAGAUAAAUGGCUACGAGAAUCCAACAUAUAAAUAUUUUGAAGUGAAGGAGUAACUUUAUCACCCUUAAAAUCAGAAUAAGUAUCUCCGAUUCAUUGUUUUCUCACAUCGUAGAUUGUUCGUUUUUUGUCAAAUUAAAUAAGUGAAAGAGAUCUAUAUUAUAAUUGAUGUCUAUCGUUUGUAUCACCAGGCUGUACAUGAGUAGACAAUAUUUCAGUCAGCGUAGCGAAGUAUUGAGUCAUUCGUUUUCUUAGUUGAAGAUAUUUCUGAUUGGAAUCGAAUAGCAUUAGUGAUCAAUACUCCGUAUAUUGUGCGAUGAUCGCAGCGCAGCAAUCUUGGGAAUUGUUACCAACAAUAAAUUGACCGUCCCAACAAAGAAAUCCAAAAAAUUUUGACAUCGUACUUCUAAAUCCCUAGAAUAAUCGUCUUUAAAGUUUUUUUUCUUUGGAAAUCAGUCUAUAUCGUGAGAUAUCCAAAAUCUAAUGUAAAGCAGACCGGUAAUUGCUGCGCCGCGUUCACAUGCAAUCAUACUCGUCAACUUGGCACCGAACGAUCAGCUCAUGAGGAAGAAUAAUGUUGAAUUAGCUAGUUCCACUUCCGUACAUACUCAUUUAUUUAUUUUUCUUCUUUCGUUGCUUAACUCUGAAAGAAUUGUAUUUCAAUGAUGUUUCAGAGUUCAACGCAAUAAACGGAGUGUUGAAUUAAAUGCUAUCUGCAGGACAUAAGUUCGGAGAGAUGCUAUCUGCGGUUAAAAACAGUGCCAUGAAAAUAAUAAUACAAAACUUAUGGAAAAUAAAUAUAGGAUUCCAAUCAUCGAAAGUAUUUGGAUUAGUCAAUCAUGCUCUGAUAUUUUAAGCGGUAAAAUUUAACUAGUAAUAACUUGAUAAAUUGAGCAGUUUCGCUGCUUGGAAAUAAUUGGCAGCAAUUCGAAUUGUAGAGCUAAAUAAAUAGUGUUGCUACUGAAGCAAAAAACAGUUAAUGAAAUUGAAGACUAGCUUUUUGAAUACAAACAAGCAAGCAAAAAUAUAGCAUUAAUUCCAUCACAAGAAAAAUACUCUUGGAAUAUCAGAACGUCAGUUGAAUCAAUUUGAUUAUUCAGUUUCCUUCGUACAUUCAACUUUACUGUACCUCUCUACUUUUUUCCAUUUUAAUAUAGUUUUUAGAUUAUACAUCCUUUCUUUUCCUAGUGAUUAUUGAGUACUUAAUGUCUAUUUAGUUUCAUGGAUAAUUGGAUGUUUAAAAACACUGAGAAGCACUGACAUAUUCAGUUGAAGAAAAAUGGAGUGAAAGCAAGAAAUAGAUUAAUCUAUCAUUCGAAUAAAAAAAUAGUAAUUAAGAGAGUAGUCUACUAUACUUGUUUUUAUAAUUUUAUUUUUCGAAUAUCGCGGAAAAUCACUGUUGAGAAAUAAACAAUGGAAAAUAUUCGAGAGGCUCGUUCGAUUUUACCGAACCUUCUUCUCACACAUCGAAUAUGUGUGUAUACAACGUCGUAAUAAAUCAUGUCGGGACUGUCGAAUAAAAGGAACAAGACUAUUUUUCUUCAAAAAUGGAGUUAUUUAGAUGGAGUAUAAAGUUAUACAGCGGUACAGUGGAUUCGAAAAAUAAAAUACCUUUAUGGCAAUAAAUGCCAUCAAGAACAAGACAAAGCUGUUGGAGUUUUAAUUUACAUUUUUUUCUAAUUCAAUGAAUUUUUUGAAAUUAAAGAACAAACGCGUUCAUAACAAUAAUUAUCUUAGGAUAAGAUUAAUAAUGCAUAUGCAUGUAUGAUGACGAUGGUGAUGAAUAAUAUACUACACGUUUAACGCUUAUAUAUUUGUAUAUGAUCAAGAAAAGAUAGAAGACACGCACUUUGGCUCCGUUAGCACGAAGGAGCACACACACGCAUAUGCAUACAUUAUACACUUACAACAUACCUCUAAAUAUACGAAAUGAACAUUUCAUUUAAAGUUAUUCCUGCUGAGAUGGAAUGGAAAAGCGUUGAAGUAAAUUUGAAGAGUCCGUCGGCAUUCAUUUCCUUCCAAAAAAAUGUGUAGGGGAGCUUUUAAGAGCUUGGUGCGGCAAAAUUCGCUAUAAAUCAAUACCUAACGUAUAAUAUGUGCAUCGAAAUUAACUAAAGAAUAAUUCAAGUGAAUGACAUGUGUACUGAUUGCCUACAUUCCCAAAAUGUCGCAGUGCUGUGAAAUAACUCGAAGAAAAUCAUGAGUAUAGGAAAUGAUUAAUUCGUCUUACUCAUCCUCCACGAGUUGGAAGUGAAAAAAAUAUUUGGCCCAAUUAAUUUUCGAUUGAAAACCUGCAUUAUAUAGUAUUAUUUUAGAUACUUUGAAGGGAUAUAGUAAUAUACUACCGUGAGUGUACUAUCAAGACGGUGAUAAAGUGAAUCAACAAAAAGAUACCAUCGUUACAUUAAAUUCUAAUGAUAUAUAAUUAUAUAGACAUAAACAUAUACAUAGGAUUACAGAUCUGCGUAUAUAUUUAUAUAUCAUUAUGAAGGCAGAUUUAUUAUUGUACCUAUAGCAUGUAGUGUUGUGUAAAAACACAUUGUCGCGUAUGCAACAUGGAACUGACGCCGAGUCACAGGUUCAUUUGUUUUGGUGAUUUUUUUUGCUCGUUAUGAAACUUGAUUCGUUUUCAUUGGGGAUGAAAAGCGUCAAAGCAUUCAUUGCAUAUUCAUAAAUGUUUUUUCAUCGCAAUAGUUCUUUUGUCCGGUGAUUGAUUGACGUGAAAUUCGAUUUUUCAAUGUUAUUGCUUUAAAGCAUAUCAGUUCAGAUACGAUUAAUUCCUUUGAAAACAGGCAAAAAAUAACACCAUUGGCCCUGAUCUCUCAAAUGUAUGCGUAUGUGCGUGUAUCCUGCAUCCUUAGAUGUAACGAUCCUGUGACCCGGUUCUGGGCCGCUCUAAGUAAAUUUAAAAAUUGAUUUUUGUAAAGAGGUAAUAAUUCUAUAUAUGGAAAUAAUCAACCUAGCUUAAAGUGAAGAAAAACUACAAAGCAGGUGAGGUGUGAGAAUAACAAAUUGAAAGAUUAAUAAUAAACAGAAAUAUACGUCCUUCGGUAGGAGUCCCAGUUGUGAGGGGAUUAAAAUGAAAAAAGAAAUGAUAUUAUAAUUACAUGGUUCAACAAAAUUCGUUCGGAUUUUGUGCUAAAACCAAAAGGUAAUCCUCUGGGGAGUAUAUUUUGGAGUUGGGAGAAAAGACAAAAUGGAGAAAGGACAAAAUAGCCAAAGGAAACGCAAGCCAUGGAAUUCAGCACGUGAUACAUCCAUCGACUAGGGUAAGCUGCAUCUGGAUAAUAGGGUCAUUCAUUUAUCAAUCAAUUCAUUAGAAGGCGUCCAAACGGUGCAUUGAAGUUGGUGUUCAGUGCAAAAGGAAAUUACGAGUCUGUAAGUGACAUACUUUUUCAAGUUCAUAUCCGCUCUUUCCAAUCAGUUCCAUAUCAAGUUUAUUCGGCGAACGAUCGAAGCAAUUGAGCAGGAAUCGGACAUAGGACCUUUUGCACAUAAACCGACAAUCGAUUAGUACUAACCCGACCCACCCGGUCGCUAGAAAGAUAUCAGAUACAUCAAAUUAAGUGAAUACACUGUAUUUUGAAGGAAUUUGGUAAUGAAUCUAAAAUAUACGGAUGGUUGCCACCAUUCAAAUAAACACGUUAAAAAUUAUCCGGAGGACUGGGUUACACUUUUGGGCCCAGAUGAGACGAAUUUUAUUGAACCGUGUCAUGGGUUGCACCUGUAUUUACGAAAAAACAGAACUUAUUCCUUUUUUUGUGAUCUAUCGGACAUCUACUAAAGUUCUUCCUCAAUUUAAUGUCACAACCAAAAAACGAGAACAAGGCGACUAUUUUUUCGUUGUUAUGGCAUCCUUUACCCUUGUAGUGAACAGAGUUAAUAAAGCUAACCAAUUGUGUAUUAGACGACGUUUUUCUUCGCACAUUCAUAUACUCAUAAUUUAAGUCUGUCAAAAUCGUAUUCUUUGUGACUGUACAAUAACAACAUGAAUUCGAAGAAAAUGAGAAAAAAUCGAGACAUUCAAAGAGGGAAUGAAAAUCACUAUAUCAUGCUGGCAAUUGACCAAUUUGUAAGAGAACGUGAGGAAUUAAGAAUGCGUGGAAGCUUUCACUGAAUAACAGCAGUAUAUACCGUAUAUACCGUUUUUUGUCGGUACCUGAAAAAUUAUUUCAAUAUUUCCACAUCCAUAUGAAAAUAAUUCGCUCAAUCGAUUUCUAUAGAGCAAAAGUUUGUAAAAAAAAGAUUGACAUAAGUAUCUGAUUUCGUUUCACAAUUCGAAUAGAAUCGCUAUUCUUGAAAACGUAAAUCUUUCGAUGAACAAUCCGUUUAUAAUCAUUCUGCCAAAUCGAGAAAGUGAACGUUUCUCAUAGUAACAAUUUGUGUCCGCUCUCGUUUGGUUUGUCUGGCGAUUGCUCGAUAUUAUAAGAGACUUGGAGAUAAUGUGGACGAAUUUUUCUACCAGGGCAGAAGGGGAUAGGAAGAACCGGAAUACGAACAAAUCUUUGAAUCCUCUUUACCCAAUAGAUUGAAAAAUGUAAACGUGUGGGUGAAACUGUUAUCUCCACAAGAAUGAAAUUAAACAUCGGAUGGACAAUUGAGGAAUAGUCGUGGAAAAUACAAGUUCAGAACAGGCUAAAAGCUUCAUAUGAUGUUGGUGCCCUGUCCUUUCACCUCAAAAAGACUCACUUUAUGCGUGGCCUUUAGACCUGUCAGCUAGCUCGUAUUUUUCAACAUUCUUGAAAAUUUUGUAACCAGUUUUCAAGUUAGCUUGAUCUCGGGUUGACAAAUAUUCAUUUCGAAUAUAUUUCUCAUCUUUUUAUAUAUUUGGUGAGGAGAAUUAAUGGAGCAAAGAUUUAUAUCCGUAUCGUUUUUUACCUCUCGCUGCUUACCCCUUUCCUUUCAUUCUCGAAAGAGGACGACAAAUACAAUAAUACGAAUCAUGGAUAAAAGAAUAAUUAUGUUUGUGGAUACAUGUAAUUCUACUUACCAAUAAAUAAAUGAUGGAAUACCCAUA